UACGUAGGGGGCUAGCGUUGUCCGGAAUCAUUGGGCGUGAAGCGCGCGUAGGCGGCCAGAUAAGUCCGGUGUGAAAGUCACAGGCUCAACCUGUGAAUGCCGCUGGAAACUGUCUGGCUAGAGUCCGGAAGGGGCGAGUGGAAUUCCUGGUGUAGCGGUGAAAUGCGCAGAUAUCAGGAGGAACACCGAUUGCGAAGGCAGCUCGCUGGGACGUUACUGACGCUGAGACGCGAAAGCGUGGGGAGCAAACAGG
This 253-nucleotide ribosomal RNA is filed under the name uncultured bacterium. RNAcentral's name for it is "partial 16S ribosomal RNA". It matches the Rfam family "Bacterial small subunit ribosomal RNA", at positions 524 to 776 of the family's 1533-position model. The record is from RNAcentral.